UAGUCCACGCCGUAAACGAUGUCAACUAGCCGUUGGACUCCUUGAGGGUUUAGUGGCGCAGCUAACGCGAUAAGUUGUCCGCCUGGGGAGUACGGCCGCAAGGUUAAAACUCAAAUGAAUUGACGGGGGCCCGCACAAGCGGUGGAGCAUGUUGUUUAAUUCGAUGCAACACGAAGAACCUUACCUAGGCUCUAAUGUUAGCGCAAUCUGGUGAAAGCCGGAGUUCUUCGGACGUAUAGUAAGGUGCUGCAUGGUUGUCGUCAGCUCGUGCCGUGAGGUGUUGGGUUAAGUCCCGCAACGAGCGCAACCCUUGUUUCCAGUUGCCAGCAUGUAAAGAUGGGGACUCUGGAGAGACUGCCGGCGUAAGCCGCGAGGAAGGUGGGGACGACGUCAAAUCAUCAUGGCCUUUAUGCCUGGGGCUACACACGUGCUACAAUGGCAGAUACAGAGGGUUGCUAAACCGCGAGGUGGUGCUAAUCUCUUAAAGUCUGUCCCAGUUCGGA
Molecule: ribosomal RNA, 503 nt
Filed under: uncultured bacterium
Lineage: Bacteria
Description: bacterial SSU rRNA
Rfam family: Bacterial small subunit ribosomal RNA
Source: RNAcentral